GAUGAACGCUGACAGAAUGCUUAACACAUGCAAGUCGAUUCAAGUUACCUUCGGGUAAUGAGGAUGGCGGACGGGUGAGUAACGCGUAAGGAACUUGCCUCUUGGUCUGGGACAACUGUUGGAAACGACAGCUAAUACCGGAUAUUAUGAGAUUCUCGCAUGGGAAACUUAUGAAAGCUAUAUGCGCCAAGAGAGAGCCUUGCGUUCCAUUAGCUAGUUGGUGGGGUAAUGGCCCACCAAGGCGACGAUGGAUAGCCGGCCUGAGAGGGUGAACGGCCACAAGGGGACUGAGACACGGCCCUUACUCCUACGGGAGGCAGCAGUGGGGAAUAUUGGACAAUGGGCCACAAGCCUGAUCCAGCAAUUCUGUGUGCACGAUGAAGGUCUUCGGAUUGUAAAGUGCUUUCAGUUGGGAAGAAGAAAGUGACGGUACCAACAGAAGAAGCGACGGCUAAAUACGUGCCAGCAGCCGCGGUAAUACGUAUGUCGCAAGCGUUAUCCGGAUUUAUUGGGCGUAAAGCGCGUCUAGGCGGAAAAAUAAGUCUGAUGUUAAAAUGCGGGGCUCAACUCCGUAUUGCGUUGGAAACUGUUUUUCUAGAGUACUGGAGAGGUGGGCGGAACUACAAGUGUAGAGGUGAAAUUCGUAGAUAUUUGUAGGAAUGCCGAUGGAGAAGUCAGCUCACUGGACAGAUACUGACGCUAAAGCGCGAAAGCGUGGGGAGCNAACAGGAUUAGAUACCCUGGUAGUCCACGCCGUAAACGAUGAUCACUAG
RNAcentral lists this ribosomal RNA (773 nucleotides) under uncultured prokaryote. RNAcentral's name for it is "bacterial SSU rRNA". It matches the Rfam family "Bacterial small subunit ribosomal RNA", at positions 28 to 819 of the family's 1533-position model. The record is from RNAcentral.